GGCAGAGCCCGGGGAGGGACCGGACCCGUUAGCGGCUGAUUGAGUGCCUGUCAUUUAUUACAAUACUGGGACAAGGAGAAACAAUGAGAUGAAUGUCACGCUUCCCAGAGGUGUCAGAUAAGGGCAUGAUGCUGCUGGCAUUGCUGUAGCACCACGAUGGGUUGGAAGGAGCACCUCUGCCCUCUUCUGGGACAGCCACAGCCUCACUUGACCUCUGCAACAAUUUAA
This 228-nucleotide long non-coding RNA is filed under the name Gallus gallus (chicken). The record is from RNAcentral. Lineage: Eukaryota; Metazoa; Chordata; Aves; Galliformes; Phasianidae.